Molecule: ribosomal RNA, 535 nt
Filed under: Cryptosporidium parvum
Lineage: Eukaryota; Apicomplexa; Conoidasida; Eucoccidiorida; Cryptosporidiidae
Also listed under: 2 other names
Description: SSU rRNA
Rfam family: Eukaryotic small subunit ribosomal RNA
Source: RNAcentral
AGACGGUAGGGUAUUGGCCUACCGUGGCUAUGACGGGUAACGGGGAAUUAGGGUUCGAUUCCGGAGAGGGAGCCUGAGAAACGGCUACCACAUCUAAGGAAGGCAGCAGGCGCGCAAAUUACCCAAUCCUAAUACAGGGAGGUAGUGACAAGAAAUAACAAUACAGAGCCUUACGGUUUUGUAAUUGGAAUGAGUUAAGUAUAAACCCCUUAACAAGUAUCAAUUGGAGGGCAAGUCUGGUGCCAGCAGCCGCGGUAAUUCCAGCUCCAAUAGCGUAUAUUAAAGUUGUUGCAGUUAAAAAGCUCGUAGUUAAUUUUCUGUUAAUUUUUAUAUACAAUGCUACGGUAUUUAUAUAAUAUUAACAUAAUUCAUAUUACUUUUUAGUAUAUGAAACUUUACUUUGAGAAAAUUAGAGUGCUUAAAGCAGGCUAUUGCCUUGAAUACUCCAGCAUGGAAUAAUAUUAAGGAUUUUUAUUCUUCUUAUUGGUUCUAGAAUAAAAAUAAUGAUUAAUAGGGACAGUUGGGGGCAUUUGUA